UACGUAGGGGGCAAGCGUUAUCCGGAUUUACUGGGUGUAAAGGGGGCGCAGACGGCAAUGCAAGCCAGGAGUGAAAGCCCGGGGCCCAACCCCGGGACUGCUCUUGGAACUGCAUGGCUGGAGUGCAGGAGGGGCAGGCGGAAUUCCUGGUGUAGCGGUGAAAUGCGUAGAUAUCAGGAGGAACACCGGUGGCGAAGGCGGCCUGCUGGACUGCAACUGACGUUGAGGCCCGAAAGCGUGGGGAGCAAACAGG
RNAcentral lists this ribosomal RNA (253 nucleotides) under uncultured bacterium. Its description in RNAcentral is "partial 16S ribosomal RNA". It matches the Rfam family "Bacterial small subunit ribosomal RNA", at positions 524 to 776 of the family's 1533-position model. The record is from RNAcentral.